This 1599-nucleotide long non-coding RNA is filed under the name Triticum aestivum (bread wheat). RNAcentral's name for it is "long non-coding RNA (TAES_LNC022923)". Lineage: Eukaryota; Viridiplantae; Streptophyta; Magnoliopsida; Poales; Poaceae. The record is from RNAcentral.
GCGCACCUGCCCUUGACGCAUCUCAUUUCAUCUCUUUCUCUCGCAUCUUCCUCUUCUAUCCAGAUCUUCCUCGCGCACCUCCGCCCAGGUCAAUGCCCUCAGCCUCGCGCCCGUGCAACCUGCCGUUGCCCCGUCUGUACCUUGGAGCUUGACCCCAUUGACUCAGGCAGCGCGCUGGACGGCUGCACCCUGGACCCUGGUUGCACUCUUGACUUCGGUGGCAGGGAGGUUCCGCCGGCUGUUCUGUCCAAUCCGUCGCCUGGUGCUGGGACCGGGCGACGGGAUCUGCAGACUUGGUUUGGUGGAGAUGCAACCGUGGCGACGAGGAGCUGCAACCGGCCGUGGAUUAGAGCUGCAUCCGAUGGCGCUGCCUGGUGCUCGGACUGGCAACUAUGCUGUGCCGGGACGGUGGCCACAAGAUUUGGAGGCGACAAGUGUUACAACCAACACCCACCGGUGCUGGAGACAACGACGACAAGUGCUAGAGAGCCGCAGCGACCGGCGUUCAGGAUCGCUUGAAACCACGACGACAAGUGCUGGGAGAUCCGGCGAGGGUCUGUUUUGCUGGAAGCAGCCCCAAUUUUUGUUACAACCGUCUUCUUUUUUUGCUGGAAUCAACCAUUUUUUUGCUACCAUGUUUCUGUUUUGCUGGAACCAGGGCGUAUCAAUUUUGCUACUACCAUGUUUUGUUUUUGCUGGAACCAUCUUAAUUUUUUGCUACCAUGUUUUUGAUUGGCAGAAGCAGUGUAGCAAUUUUUGCUACAACCAUGUUUCAUUUGUUGCUGGAAUCAACCAAAAAAGUUUGCUACCAUGUGUUUUUGUUUGGUGGAACAAGUGUACCAAUUGUUUUGUUACAACUGUUUUGAGUUCUGCUACUAUCGGUGUUGUCAAUUGCUACAUCUCUUCUUCCAUGACGCGCCGAGAUCCAUGACUAUGUUUUUUUUUUGCUGCAACCAUUGUCGUUUUUGCUACUACGGCGUUCAUGAAUUGAUACAUCCGUUGUCUAUUUUUGCUACUACCAUGGAUGCGCAGUCAACAACUUUUUUUUACGUUGACAGUGGCAAAGCGUUGGGGUUGAGAUUCUACGGCGAGCGACGGGAGCCAGGGCGGCGAGGGUGGCGACGAACGAGCGCGUGGGUGGCGCUUUGAGGCUGGUCAUGUGCUCGUCCAUGAAGAGUGCGAGGAGGAAGAACAAGUGCGGGGUGGAAGAAAGAAGAUCAUGUGGUUACGAAGCGUUUUAUCGUGUGGUCCUGGUGCGACCGGCCCAAAGUUGGGCCGGCGCGCCGGCGCCUAUCAGCCGCCUUUCAAGAUUUAGUUAGGCCUCUUCCAAUACUUCAUCUUGUACGGAUGCUAAAUCUUUCAUGUAGAUAAAAAAUCUGAUGUAGAAGAGGGAAGAGAUGAGUGUGAUGACCCUAAAAAAAACAAUGCUAAGCGCGUGAACCUAGAUAAAAUAUUUAAAGAAAGGAAACCCACCAAUACAUGAAGAACUUUAGUUGCUAAAUCAUUAAAUGAAGCAAGCUUAGCAACCAUAAAUUCCAAUCGUUGGUGCUUAGAGCAUCUCCACUAGGGCCCCCACGACGCCCCCAAGCACCUUUCUUU